ACAGUUCGGGCUGGGCGACUCUAAAGGGACUGCCGGUGUUAAACCGGAGGAAGGUGGGGAUGACGUCAAGUCCUCAUGGCCUUUAUGACCAGGGCGUACACACGUACUACAAUGGCCGAUACAAAGGGCAGCGACACUGCGAGGUGAAGCCAAUCCCGUAAAAUCGGUCUCAGCCCGGAUUGGAGUCUGCAACUCGACUCCAUGAAGUUGGAAUCGCUAGUAAUCGUGGAUCAGUAUGCCACGGUGAAUACGUUCCCGGGCCUU
This 264-nucleotide ribosomal RNA is filed under the name uncultured Desulfobulbus sp. Its description in RNAcentral is "partial 16S ribosomal RNA". It matches the Rfam family "Bacterial small subunit ribosomal RNA", at positions 1121 to 1382 of the family's 1533-position model. Lineage: Bacteria; Pseudomonadati; Thermodesulfobacteriota; Desulfobulbia; Desulfobulbales; Desulfobulbaceae. The record is from RNAcentral.